UACAGAGGUGGCAAGCGUUGUUCGGAAUUACUGGGCGUAAAGGGCGAGUAGGCGGCUUUUUAAGUCAGACGUGAAAUCCCCCGGCUUAACCUGGGAACUGCGUCUGAUACUGGAAGGCUUGAGUAUGGGAGAGGAAUGUGGAAUUCCAGGUGUAGCGGUGAAAUGCGUAGAUAUCGGGAAGAACACCCGUGGCGAAGGCGGUUCUCUGGGCAGUAACUGACGCUGAGGAGCGAAAGCGUGGGGAGCGAACAGG
RNAcentral lists this ribosomal RNA (253 nucleotides) under uncultured bacterium. RNAcentral describes it as "partial 16S ribosomal RNA". It matches the Rfam family "Bacterial small subunit ribosomal RNA", at positions 524 to 776 of the family's 1533-position model. The record is from RNAcentral.